CCUACGGGUGGCUGCAGUGAGGAAUAUUGGUCAAUGGGCGCGAGCCUGAACCAGCCAAGUCGCGUGAGGGAUGACGGUCCUACGGAUUGUAAACCUCUUUUGCCGGGGAGCAAGCGUGCGUUCGUGAACGCGCGUCGAGAGUACCCGGAGAAAAAGCAUCGGCUAACUCCGUGCCAGCAGCCGCGGUAAUACGGAGGAUGCGAGCGUUUUCCGGAUUUAUUGGGUUUAAAGGGUGCGCAGGCGGCCUGUUAAGUCAGCGGUAAAAGCCCGGGGCCCAACCCCGGCGAGCCGUUGAAACUGGCGGGCUGGAGUUGGAGAGAAGUACGCGGAAUGCGCGGUGUAGCGGUGAAAUGCUUAGAUAUCGCGCAGAACCCCGAUUGCGAAGGCAGCGUACCGGCUCCACACUGACGCUGAGGCACGAAAGCGUGGGUAUCGAACAGGAUUAGAUACCCGAGUAGUC
This 460-nucleotide ribosomal RNA is filed under the name uncultured bacterium. Its description in RNAcentral is "partial 16S ribosomal RNA". It matches the Rfam family "Bacterial small subunit ribosomal RNA", at positions 338 to 795 of the family's 1533-position model. The record is from RNAcentral.